GGGGACGUAGCUCAGUUGGGAGAGCACCUGCCUUGCAAGCAGGGGGUCGGGAGUUCGAAUCUCCUCGUCUCCACCA
RNAcentral lists this transfer RNA (76 nucleotides) under Caldanaerobacter subterraneus subsp. tengcongensis MB4. Its description in RNAcentral is "tRNA-Ala (TGC) (tRNA-Ala-TGC-1-1)". It matches the Rfam family "tRNA". From Rfam's summary of the family: Transfer RNA (tRNA) molecules are approximately 80 nucleotides in length. Their secondary structure includes four short double-helical elements and three loops (D, anti-codon, and T loops). Further hydrogen bonds mediate the characteristic L-shaped molecular structure. tRNAs have two regions of fundamental functional importance: the anti-codon, which is responsible for specific mRNA codon recognition, and the 3' end, to which the tRNAs corresponding amino acid is attached (by aminoacyl-tRNA synthetases). tRNAs cope with the degeneracy of the genetic code in two manners: having more than one tRNA (with a specific anti-codon) for a particular amino acid; and 'wobble' base-pairing, i.e. permitting non-standard base-pairing at the 3rd anti-codon position. The record is from RNAcentral. RNAcentral also lists the same sequence under 5 other names. Lineage: Bacteria; Bacillati; Bacillota; Clostridia; Thermoanaerobacterales; Thermoanaerobacteraceae.